Long non-coding RNA from Equus asinus (donkey), 2560 nucleotides. NCBI's taxonomy places the organism in Eukaryota, Metazoa, Chordata, Mammalia, Perissodactyla, Equidae. The record is from Ensembl.
GUUAGUGGCUGAGUCAGAACUUCCUGCCCCCGACCCGGGGAAAGCCGCCCUCCUUGUUGUGGCCUGACCUGCCCUGGCCCACCUCUCCGCCCCCGCUCACCUCCUCCCUGAUGGGUUCCGGCCACAGCGGCCUCCUUUCUGCCCCAAGAACGCGCCGAUCUGGUUCCCACUCACCUCCGAUGGCCCCCUUGACGUUUCCACUUGGGUUUUCCACCAGGCAUCUCAAACCUAAGGGGGCUGGAGAGAAUUUUAUGCCUCCCUCUGGCCAGCAAAGAAACUUGCUUCUCCCCAAUACUCUGCCCUCUUAGAAAAUGAAUCUGUCAAUCACCCAAAUGUCCAGCCCAGCGUGCAAGGGUCGCCCUCGAUUUAACUUUUCCAUCACCCCCUCCACAUCCACUGACAGCAGGUCCUGUGGGCUCUGCCUUAGAAAUAGUGUUUGUCCACGGCUCUUGCCUCCACUGCUGUCACUACCUCCUGCUUGGCCAGGUGCCUGUGGUAGGGGACAAGGUUCUCCAAUGCCACUUUCUCUCAUGAGCAGCAUGCUUCACCACAGGGGCCUGAAGCUCCUCUAACCCGGUUCUCAAAGUCAGCUCCCCAGACCAGCUGCAGAGCAUCACCUGGGGGCCGUUAGAAAUGCAAAUUCCUGGCUCCCCGCCUCAGACCCACGGAAUCAGAAACUCGGGGGAGGGACCCAGCACUUUGUUGUUACAAGCCCUCCAGGGGAUUCUGCUGCACUCACGGCCUUCAAGCAUCCACCCGACCCCUUAAACUCUUAAACGAAGAGUAACCACUUCACAGGGUUCUGGCCGGGAUUCUUGAGUGAAUGCCUGCAAAGUGCUUAGAACACUGUCUGGUGGAGUAAAGAAUGGAUAAACAAUAGUUGUUUUUUACUUUACCUACAGUUGAGUAACUCGUAAAAGCAAGCCCCAGCCAGAUGCAAACUCGAACCCCUCCCCCCCACCAUGUGAUGGAAGCAGCUAUUUCACCACAGAAUGUUGUCUUCUCAUCACACGUCCAAUUCACGUGUACUGGGCACCAAUUGUAUGACAGGUGCUGGGCAGGCUCGGAGGAUACAGGACAGACAGGGCCAACGGAAUCCGUGUCCAUCCCGAGUUUAGGUCACCACACAGCUGGUGUGUCAGGAUUCAGAAGGCCCCCCCAACGCCCCCCAGCCUCGAGACCCUGGGCAAACCAGUUAGUGUCGUCGUCUGAACUGGAGAUGAUAGAGUGCUCACAGAGUCACUCGGGAAUAAUGAGGAUCCACACAGGGCCUGUGCUUGGUGGGCUAAGUCAAUCGUGUCGCUCUCCUUGCCCAUGACUGGCUGAGGCUCAGGUCUGGGCGCCAUCCUGGCCAGUGCAUUGUGAAGGCAGAUUUGCGAGGCACCGCUAGGAGGGGGUUUCCCAACUCUAAAACAGGAGGUAAGCAGCCAGUUGUCCUGUCUGUGGGUGACACUUUAAACUGUAGCAGCCACCUGGGUGCCAUGAGGGGUGAUAGUCAGACACUCCACUCAGGGUGGGAGGGAGGAGAGAUGGAGGAAGCUGGUCCUUGGUGGCAUGGUGGAGCUGCUGAGUUAACCGCCCCUCGCUGGAGCUCCCCUACCUCCAGGCUUCUCUCUACGUGAAAUAAGAAGUCCCCUCAAGCCUUUUCAAGUCAAGUCGGGGGCUCUGCAUUUUCAUUCUGCACUGGACCCUACAAAUGAAGUAGCUGUUCACGUACACAUCACUUUGAUCAUUUGUGCAGUGUCCACACACCACCGCUUUUUCUCCAGCAUUGAAGUGUACCAUAAAUAAUUAGGAAUGGAACGAAGAACUGACUCCCUGGAACGUCCUGCCUACGCUUCUCCGCCUGCCUCGUGCUUCAGCCCGUGGGACGGCAGAGCAGAUCAAAGCAUCGGUCCAUUUUACGGUCGGGACCAGUGAGGCUCAGCGAGCGAGAAUCCCAGCCAAACCUGCAAAUAACGUUCCUGCAUAAACAUGAAAUACAGGUCGCUGUGUUGAGCGGCGUUUUCCCAGCGCCACUUCUUCUGGGAUCCUGAGGACCUGGUGGGCCGUCGGGGGUCCUUCCAGAGGCCCGCAGAGGGCACGGGCUCCCUCCGCCACGUGGUGCGGGCUCGGGAGGGAGGGCGGGCUGAGCGCAGGGCGGGGCCCCAUCAGAGGUGGAACCAGCACCGCAGCGUCUCUGUGCGGUACCGUCAGGAAAACCCACGUGAGAGAAAUAAACGUCUGUUUCAAAAUAAACUGCAGCAGCAAGAAGAGAAGCGUUCCUCGAAACCUCACUACCGCUUGGAAUUCGUGCUGAACUUUUUAUAGCUCUGAGAACAAUCCGAUGUCCCCAAGAGAAAAGCAUACUAGGUUUUACAGUUUGUUUGUUUACACCACGGAAACCGCUCAAGACCUCUCGUUAAUUUCCUCAUGACGUUUUGUAAUUGCCAAAGCAGGUUGCUUGAAGUGAACCGAAGCCUAAAGGGUUAUAAUAUGUUUUUCUUAUUCAAUAAUAAGGAUCGAAAUAUAUUUUGUAAUUAAAUCUAUUAAAAGCUUAUUAAAUUUGCUUUACAGUUAA